GACGAACGCUGGCGGCGUGCUUAACACAUGCAAGUCGAACGGAAAGGCCUCUUUCGGGGGGUACUCGAGUGGCGAACGGGUGAGUAACACGUGAGUAACCUGCCCUUGACUUUGGGAUAACUUCAGGAAACUGGGGCUAAUACCGGAUAGGAGCUCCUGCUGCAUGGUGGGGGUUGGAAAGUUUCGGCGGUUGGGGAUGGACUCGCGGCUUAUCAGCUUGUUGGUGGGGUAGUGGCUUACCAAGGCUUUGACGGGUAGCCGGCCUGAGAGGGUGACCGGCCACAUUGGGACUGGGAUACGGCCCAGACUCCUACGGGAGGCAGCAGUGGGGAAUAUUGCACAAUGGGUGGAAGCCUGAUGCAGCAACGCCGUGUGCGGGAUGACGGCCUUCGGGUUGUAAACCGCUUUCGCUCAUGACGAAGCUUUGUGUGACGGUAGUGGGUAAAGAAGCACCGGCUAACUACGUG
RNAcentral lists this ribosomal RNA (467 nucleotides) under uncultured bacterium. RNAcentral describes it as "partial 16S ribosomal RNA". It matches the Rfam family "Bacterial small subunit ribosomal RNA", at positions 28 to 507 of the family's 1533-position model. The record is from RNAcentral.